GCUCCAGUGGCGCAAUCGGUUAGCGCGCGGUACUUAUACGACAGUACAAAGGCGAGUAAUGCCGAGGUUGUGAGUUCGAUCCUCACCUGGAGCA
This 94-nucleotide transfer RNA is filed under the name Sarcophilus harrisii (Tasmanian devil). It matches the Rfam family "tRNA". Rfam says of the family: Transfer RNA (tRNA) molecules are approximately 80 nucleotides in length. Lineage: Eukaryota; Metazoa; Chordata; Mammalia; Dasyuromorphia; Dasyuridae. The record is from Rfam by way of RNAcentral.